CACUCCUACGGGAGGCAGCAGUGGGGAAUUUUACGCAAUGGGGGAAACCCUGACGUAGCGACACCGCGUGAGCGAAGAAGCCCUUUGGGGUGUAAAGCUCUGUCAGCUGGAACGAAAACAAUGACGGUACCAGCAGAGGAAGCAUCGGCUAACUACGUGCCAGCAGCCGCGGUAAGACGUAGGAUGCGAGCGUUGUCCGGAUUUAUUGGGCGUAAAGAGUUCGUAGGUGGUUUGUUAAGUUUGGUGUUAAAGAUCGGGGCUCAACCCUGGGACUGCACUGAAUACUGGCAGACUCGAGUGUGGUAGAGGCUAGUUGAAUUCCCAGUGUAGCGGUGAAAUGCGUAGAUAUUGGGAAGAACACCGGUGGCGUAGGCGACUAGCUGGGCCAUAACUGACGCUGAGGAACGAAAGCCAGGGGAGCGAAUGGGAUUAGAAACCCGGGUAGUCCC
RNAcentral lists this ribosomal RNA (449 nucleotides) under uncultured organism. RNAcentral describes it as "partial 16S ribosomal RNA". It matches the Rfam family "Bacterial small subunit ribosomal RNA", at positions 334 to 797 of the family's 1533-position model. The record is from RNAcentral.